UUAACCUGGCCUUGACAUACUAAGAACUUUCCAGAGAUGGAUUGGUGCCUUCGGGAACUUAGAUACAGGUGCUGCAUGGCUGUCGUCAGCUCGUGUCGUGAGAUGUUGGGUUAAGUCCCGCAACGAGCGCAACCCUUUUCCUUAUUGCCAGCGGGUUAAGCCGGGAACUUUAAGGAUACUGCCAGUGACAAACUGGAGGAAGGCGGGGACGACGUCAAGUCAUCAUGGCCCUUACGGCCAGGGCUACACACGUGCUACAAUGGUCGGUACAAAGGGUUGCUACCUCGCGAGAGGAUGCUAAUCUCAAAAAGCCGAUCGUAGUCCGGAUCGCAGUCUGCAACUCGACUGCGUGAAGUCGGAAUCGCUAGUAAUCGCGGAUCAGAAUGCCGCGGUGAAUACGUUCCCGGGCCUUGUACACACCGCCCGUCACACCAUGGGAGUUUGUUGCACCAGAAGUAGGUAGUCUAACCGCAAGGAGGACGCUUACCACGGUGUGGCCGAUGACUGGGGUGAAGUCGUAACAAGGUAAGCGUAGAUGA
RNAcentral lists this ribosomal RNA (539 nucleotides) under uncultured bacterium. RNAcentral describes it as "bacterial SSU rRNA". It matches the Rfam family "Bacterial small subunit ribosomal RNA", at positions 970 to 1509 of the family's 1533-position model. The record is from RNAcentral.